AGAACUUUUACGCGAAUCCUUUACCAGGUUGCUUGUGUAAUAGAUCACACGAAGAAGCCAGUAAACAACAACUCAACAAGAGACCAAGAUUGAGGGUUGCUUCACAAAGAUAGGUACUUUCAAUGAUCAUAAUUUGGUAGAUUAGUCCAAUAUCAAUACUUGUUCUACAAAUGCCCUAUAAGGGGUUGCUAGAAGUCGGGUUUUUCAUCGCCCUUCACACUGCGCGGCAAGCAAAAACAAAGAGAGAUUGUUGUAACAAGCAAAGCAGUACUUGGAAGCAGAGAUGAUGUUUUAUAAGAUGGACAAAAGAAAAGCAUAUACACAAAGCAGAGAGAUAUACUCAAAAAUCAUUCUUUAGGGUGGAAUAUAAAAAAUUUCAUUCAUUUAUUUGUUUUUAUUUUGGUUCUGAGUUAGUUUUGUGAUAUAGGUUCAACACGGAUUGAUCAUAUAUGUAUUACCAAUUCAUGAAAAUGAUAUACAGAUCUUUACACAGAUGCAGAUUUGCUCUUCCUAGACAAAUGUUUGUGUUAGCCUUUCAUUUUUAGCUUAAAAAACUACGUAAUGUGUGUAUUAGACGCAUGUCAGGUGUUCAAAUCCUAGUAUUUGAGUAGAGAAGGGUAAUACGAUGAGUCUAUUAUCCACCGAGUUUUGGAUGUGUUUUAACUGAUCCAAGAGAUUUCUCGAUUAUAAAAAAAAAAAAAAGUACUAUAUGGAUCAUUCCACCCUUAGGAAGAUUGUGGUUCAGUUUGAACUGCUCCCCUGAUAAAUUGAUCCAAAUAUAUAGUCUGAUAUACUCUUUAAUUUUGUAAUUUGGAGCUAAUAUAUUUCUUGUUACAAAAAUGAUUCACAUAUAUCCUUUUCAUCUAACGAAAGUGAAAAUAAAUUUAUUUUUUUAUUUUUUGAAAAAUCAUAUAGGAAUAUAUAUAAUCCCUCUUAAAAAAUAAAUCUUGCAAUACCUAGUAACUGCUCCACUAGACCACUACCACUAGCAUUCAAAGAGAGGUUGCAACUUCUAAGACUCAUUUUAUUAAAGAGUUUAAGUAAUAUUUGUCGUAUAAAUAAUUUUUACAUUAUCAGGUUACUUGUUAUAGCAUUUAAACUCUUUAUUAAAUAGGUGGUUAUUCUUUAUUUUAUUUUUUUGUCAUUCAUAAAAAUAUAAGUAUAUGUUUGUAUUCCUCAUGUCAAAGCUCCAGCUAGAAGCAUGAAUUGUGGUCCUACCAGUUUUUGCAAGUAUAAGCUAAGCACCUUGACAUUAAAGUUGUUGCCACUUUAUUCAAUUCCAAGCUGUCUAGGACAAAAUAUUUAAUAGGAUUCACAAUGGACAUGGAAAAUUAUGAGGAAUUAUACUUUCUUGGCUAUUUAUAACAGAGGAAAAUAAUUUUUUCAAAUCUGUUAUGUGUGAAAAUGAAUUUCUUAUAAGCUAUUGUAUGGAUGUGUUUUAGUGAAUGGCGAAGAUGUUAUGUUGUUGCUAAUUAUGUUUAGUGGAUUAUGGCAGAUAUGUGAUAUGGUUGCUAUUGCUAAAAUAAUGAAUGCCACUCUGGUGCUUCCUUCUCUUGACCAUGAAUCGUUUUGGACCGAUACUAGGUACUGUUCUUUAGUUCUUGUGAUCAGUCGACAAUGACCCCAUCUUAGCACCUCUUCAUUUCCGUUCUAAUAAUGUGUCGCUUCUUGCAGUGAUUUUAAAGAUCUUUUCAAGUGGAGACACUUCAUUAAAGUUCUCAAGGAUGAUAUUGAGAUUGUUGAGUCGUUGCCACCGAAAUAUGCAGCUGUGAUACCCCUUCAAAAGGCACCUGUGUCAUGGUCAAAGGUUUGUAAACAAAACUACUAUGUGCUAUAGCUUUAGUUUUUUUAGUUUUUGUGGCGGAAACUAAAGUAUGAUGCUUCAUUGCAGGCUAGUUACUAUAGAGGAGAGAUACUUCCUUUACUAAAGAAGCACAAGGUGAUACAAUUUACCCAUACAGAUUCAAGGCUUGCUAACAAUGGCCUAGCAUCGUCCAUUCAAAGGCUUCGCUGUAGAGCUAAUUAUCAGGCUCUGCGUUAUACGAAUGAGAUAGAGGAGUUUGGAAAGAAGUUGGUUGAUAGACUUAGAGAUAAUGGUGAACCAUUUAUCGCUCUUCAUUUAAGGUAAUCUAUCUUAACACUUUGUGUUUCUUUGUCUAUUCUUUAACCAUUGAUCUAUGAGUAACUUGGUAUAUUUCUCAAUCGUGCAGAUACGAGAAAGACAUGCUAGCGUUUACUGGCUGCAGCAACAAUUUGACUAUUGAAGAGGCUGAAGAACUUCGUACGAUGAGGUAUGAAGUGAAACAUUGGAAGGAGAAAGAGAUAGACAGCAAGGAAAAACGACUCCAAGGAGGCUGCCCCAUGUCCCCUAGAGAGGCUGCUUUAUUUCUCAAAGCGAUGGGAUAUCCGUCCACGACCAGAAUAUACAUUGUUGCAGGGGAAAUUUAUGGCAACAACAGCAUGGAUGAAUUCCGUUCUCAUUACCCGAAUGUGUACUCUCACUCAACCCUUGCAACAAAUGAAGAACUCGAGGCUUUUAAGAAUUAUCAAAACCGUCUUGCUGCAGUAGACUACAUGGUAGCCCUUGAAAGUGAUGUUUUUGCUUACACUUACGAUGGCAAUAUGGCAAAGGCCGUGCAAGGUCAUAGACGGUUUGAAGGAUUUCGAAAGACCAUUAGCCCGGACAGGUAUGUUUAGCAUCCUCAAUGCUUUACAUCUUCCCUUUUCAUCACUUAAAUCAAACUAACACUAAUAUUAAUACUUUUUCUUCUUUUCAGGUUCAAUUUUGUAAGAUUGAUCGACUCGUUAGAUAAAGGUGAAGUCUCUUGGGAAGAGUUUGCUUCAAAAGUUAAGGCCUUACAAUCCAACAGAUUAGGAGCACCUUACCUAAGACAAGCCGGUGAAUCACCACGAUUAGAGGAGAACUUUUACGCGAAUCCUUUACCAGGUUGCUUGUGUAAUAGAUCACACGAAGAAGCCAGUAAACAACAACUCAACAAGAGACCAAGAUUGAGGGUUGCUUCACAAAGAUAGGUACUUUCAAUGAUCAUAAUUUGGUAGAUUAGUCCAAUAUGUACUUGUUCUACAAAUGGCCUAUAAGGGGUUGCUAGAAGUCGGGUUUUUCAUUGCCCUUCACACUGCGCGGCGAGCAAAAACAAAGAGAGAUUGUUGUAACAAGAAAAGCAGUACUUGGAAGCAGAGAUGAUAGUUUAUAAGAUGGACAAAAGAAAAGCAUAUACACAAAGCAGAGAGAUAUACUCAAAAAUCAUUCUUUAGGGUGGAAUAUAAAAAAUUUCAUUCAUUUAUUUAUUUUUAUU
This 3317-nucleotide long non-coding RNA is filed under the name Solanum tuberosum (potato). RNAcentral's name for it is "long non-coding RNA (STUB_LNC008642)". Lineage: Eukaryota; Viridiplantae; Streptophyta; Magnoliopsida; Solanales; Solanaceae. The record is from RNAcentral.